CAGCAGCCGCGGUAACACGUAGGUGGCAAGCGUUGUCCGGAAUUAUCGGGCGUAAAGGGCUCGCAGGCGGUUUCUUAAGUCUGAUGUGAAAGCCCCCGGCUCAACCGGGGAGGGUCAUUGGAAACUGGGAAACUUGAGUGCAGAAGAGGAGAGUGGAAUUCCACGUGUAGCGGUGAAAUGCGUAGAGAUGUGGAGGAACACCAGUGGCGAAGGCGACUCUCUGGUCUGUAACUGACGCUGAGGAGCGAAAGCGUGGGGAGCGAACAGGAUUAGAGACCCCUGUAGUCCCUGUCUCUUAUAA
This 301-nucleotide ribosomal RNA is filed under the name uncultured bacterium. RNAcentral's name for it is "partial 16S ribosomal RNA". It matches the Rfam family "Bacterial small subunit ribosomal RNA", at positions 509 to 809 of the family's 1533-position model. The record is from RNAcentral.